AUUGAACGCUGGCGGCAUGCCUUACACAUGCAAGUCGAACGGUAACGGGCCUUCGGGUGCCGACGAGUGGCGAACGGGUGAGUAAUGCAUCGGAACGUACCUUUCAGUGGGGGAUAACGUAGCGAAAGUUACGCUAAUACCGCAUAUUCUGUGAGCAGGAAAGCAGGGGAUCGCAAGACCUUGCGCUGAUUGAGCGGCCGAUGUCAGAUUAGCUAGUUGGUGAGGUAAAGGCUCACCAAGGCGACGAUCUGUAGCGGGUCUGAGAGGAUGAUCCGCCACACUGGAACUGAGACACGGUCCAGACUCCUACGGGAGGCAGCAGUGGGGAAUUUUGGACAAUGGGGGCAACCCUGAUCCAGCCAUGCCGCGUGAGUGAAGAAGGCCUUCGGUGUAAGCUCUUCGCCGGAAGAAUACGUAUGGGCUAAUACCUCGUGCGGAGUGACGGUACCGGCGAUAAGAAGCACCGGCUAACUACGUAGCCGAGCAGCCG
This 490-nucleotide ribosomal RNA is filed under the name uncultured bacterium. RNAcentral's name for it is "bacterial SSU rRNA". It matches the Rfam family "Bacterial small subunit ribosomal RNA", at positions 30 to 517 of the family's 1533-position model. The record is from RNAcentral.